CAGUCGCCGCGGUAACACGUAGGUGGCAAGCGUUGUCCGGAAUUAUUGGGCGUAAAGGGCUCGCAGGCGGUUUCUUAAGUCUGAUGUGAAGGCCCCCGGCUCAACCGGGGAGGGUCAUUGGAAACUGGGAAACUUGAGUGCAGAAGAGGAGAGUGGAAUUCCACGUGUAGCGGUGAAAUGCGUAGAGAUGUGGAGGAACACCAGUGGCGAAGGCGACUCUCUGGUCUGUAACUGACGCUGAGGAGCGAAAGCGUGGGGAGCGAACAGGAUUAGAUACCCGGGUAGUCCCUGUCUCUUAUAC
Molecule: ribosomal RNA, 301 nt
Filed under: uncultured bacterium
Lineage: Bacteria
Description: partial 16S ribosomal RNA
Rfam family: Bacterial small subunit ribosomal RNA
Source: RNAcentral